UCCUCGAGCGAGUAUGACCAGGUCCUCAUG
RNAcentral lists this unclassified non-coding RNA (30 nucleotides) under Mus musculus (house mouse). Its description in RNAcentral is "oocyte_clustered_small_RNA12037". Lineage: Eukaryota; Metazoa; Chordata; Mammalia; Rodentia; Muridae. The record is from RNAcentral.